GGCGUCGGUAGUGCAAAUGGUUAGAAUACGUCCCCGGAAAGAAUGAAAUACGGGUUCGAUUCCCGCUUCAUGUCA
Parelaphostrongylus tenuis is the source of this 75-nucleotide non-coding RNA. Lineage: Eukaryota; Metazoa; Nematoda; Chromadorea; Rhabditida; Metastrongylidae. The record is from the annotation of a GenBank genome assembly.